RNAcentral lists this microRNA precursor (197 nucleotides) under Oryza sativa Indica Group (long-grained rice). RNAcentral describes it as "MIR812 microRNA precursor family". It matches the Rfam family "MIR812 microRNA precursor family". The record is from Rfam by way of RNAcentral. Lineage: Eukaryota; Viridiplantae; Streptophyta; Magnoliopsida; Poales; Poaceae.
ACUCAGGUUUCCGUGUCCAACGUUUCACCGUCCGUUUAAUUUUAAAAUAUUAUGAAAAAAAAUAAAAAGACAAAUCACGCAUAAAGUAUUAAUCAUGUUUUAUUAUCUAACAACAAUAAAAAUACUAAUUAUAAAAAAAAUUUCAUAUAAGACGGACAAUCAAACAUUGGACACGGAAACCUAGAGUUUGUCUUUUU